UGGUUCUUUGUUUUGUUUUUUUCNGCUGA
Molecule: non-coding RNA, 29 nt
Filed under: Mus musculus (house mouse)
Lineage: Eukaryota; Metazoa; Chordata; Mammalia; Rodentia; Muridae
Source: RNAcentral